This is a long non-coding RNA of Patiria miniata (bat star), 630 nucleotides long. RefSeq lists it as uncharacterized. The record is from RefSeq and is a predicted model, not a curated record. The transcript is spliced from 6 exons. NCBI's taxonomy places the organism in Eukaryota, Metazoa, Echinodermata, Asteroidea, Valvatida, Asterinidae.
UGUUCUCCAAUAAUACUAACCUUUCAGACAAAGGUUCUCUCAAAAAAGUUCCAGAGAUUAUUGUAGGAAAAAUAAAAAACUUAGUGCAUUUAAUUCCUAUGUAGGCCGAGUAUUUGAAACGCUUUUUGGUUGAUCUGUUGGAAAAGGAAGACCUUGGGACGCGCAUCGGCAAAUUAUCAACUCACAUUGAUGAGAUCAAGGGUGAAAUCUACCACGCCGUACACGAGAAGUAUGCCAACUACAGACCCACCAGGGACUCCACCCAGGAGCUACACAACAAGGUGCAGACACUGUCCACUGAGAUGCAGACUCUCAGCAAUAAGAUCAAGGUUAAACAACACGGUGACUCCACUGUGGAACCAGCCGUAUGAGGACCAGCUAUCCACCAAAUAGACCAACACCAGGGAGUUUCUGAGGAAUUUAUCCAAGAUGCUGCAAUGGAACAUUGGGGAGAUGUCUCCCUGGCUGAAGCAACAAAGGAAGAACCACAGUGGGAUGGAAUGUGAGUUGCAGCCAAUUAAGCCAUCGCCAGUAUUAGAGAGUUAUCGCAACAAGUGUGAGUUUACCAUCGGAAAGAGUGUCUAUGGCAUCGAUAACACUGUUGGUUUCCGGCUUGGCGCUUACAAAAGU